CGCUGGCGGCAUGCCUUACACAUGCAAGUCGAACGGCAGCACGGGAGCAAUCCUGGUGGCGAGUGGCGAACGGGUGAGUAAUGUAUCGGAACGUGCCUUGUCGUGGGGGAUAACGUAGCGAAAGCUACGCUAAUACCGCAUACCAUCCAAGGAUGAAAGCGGGGGGAUCGCAAGACCUCGCGCGACAAGAGUGGCCGAUAUCAGAUUAGGUUGUUGGUGGGGUAAAGGCCUACCAAGCCGACGAUCUGUAGCUGGUCUGAGAGGACGACCAGCCACACUGGGACUGAGACACGGCCCAGACUCCUACGGGGAGGCAGCAGUGGGGAAUUUUGGACAAUGGGCGAAAGCCUGAUCCAGCAAUGCCGCGUGCAGGAUGAAGGCCUUCGGGUUGUAAAACUGCUUUUGUACAGAACGAAACAGUCUCUCCUAAUACGGGGGGCGAAUGACGGUACUGUAAGAAUAAGCACCGGCUAACUACGUGCCAGCAGCCGCGGUAAUACGUAGGGUGCAAGCGUUAAUC
This 520-nucleotide ribosomal RNA is filed under the name uncultured bacterium. RNAcentral's name for it is "bacterial SSU rRNA". It matches the Rfam family "Bacterial small subunit ribosomal RNA", at positions 34 to 546 of the family's 1533-position model. The record is from RNAcentral.